This 484-nucleotide ribosomal RNA is filed under the name uncultured bacterium. Its description in RNAcentral is "partial 16S ribosomal RNA". It matches the Rfam family "Bacterial small subunit ribosomal RNA", at positions 30 to 507 of the family's 1533-position model. The record is from RNAcentral.
AUUGAACGCUGGCGGCAGGCCUAACACAUGCAAGUCGAGCGGAUGAAGGGAGCUUGCUCCUGGAUUCAGCGGCGGACGGGUGAGUAAUGCCUAGGAAUCUGCCUUGUAGUGGGGGAUAACGUCCGGAAACGGGCGCUAAUACCGCAUACGUCCUGAGGGAGAAAGUGGGGGAUCUUCGGACCUCACGCUAUCAGAUGAGCCUAGGUCGGAUUAGCUAGUUGGUGGGGUAAAGGCCUACCAAGGCGACGAUCCGUAACUGGUCUGAGAGGAUGAUCAGUCACACUGGAACUGAGACACGGUCCAGACUCCUACGGGAGGCAGCAGUGGGGAAUAUUGGACAAUGGGCGAAAGCCUGAUCCAGCCAUGCCGCGUGUGUGAAGGAGGUCUUCGGAUUGUAAAGCACUUUAAGUUGGGAGGAAGGGCAGUAAGUUAAUACCUUGCUGUUUUGACGUUACCAACAGAAUAAGCACCGGCUAACUUCGUG